AUGCCAAAUCCUUACAUACCACAUUCAUCUCCCUACUCCCCCUACCAAUACACACCGGCAGAGGAGGCCAUUAGCAAGCGAUCAGCAGAGGUAGCUAGUGGUGAUAAGAAGAGUUGGCACGAUGGCGGGCGCGCUCUUUUGCUCGCUGUCCUCGUCCUGACAGCGCAGCUGUGCGGGUGCAUGGCGUACGUCGGCGUCGGCGGCGGGUUUAGCGUGGAGUUCAUCCACCGGGACUCUGCCAAGUCGCCGUUCCACGACCCGUCGCUGACCUCGUACGACCGCGUGCUCGCCGCCGUGCGGCGCUCCACGGCUCGCUCGUCCGGCUCUCCUGGCGGCGCCGUGUCGGAGGUGGUGUCCGCUCCGUUCGAGUACCUGAUGUACGUCAACGUGGGCACGCCGCGCACCCGGAUGCUCGCCCUCGUCGACACCGGCAGCGACGUCGUGUGGUUCAAAUGCAGCAACGGGACCGCCGGCCCUCCGCCGGGCGCGCCGCUGAGCGCCGUCUUCGACCCGUCCUCCUCGUCCUCCUACGGCCUCGUGGGCUGCCGGUCCGACCCGUGCCGCGCGAUCUACGGCACGUCCUGCGGCGCCGACUCCUUCUGCCGGUACCGCUCCACGUACUCGGACGGGUCAACGACGGCCGGCAUCCUCUCCACCGAGACCUUCACCUUCGACGACGCUCCCGGCGGCUGCGUCGGAUGCCGCGAUCGCCCGCAGCUGCAAGUGGCCAGGGUCAGCUUCGGCUGCGCAUCGAGCGUGACCGGCAAGGCGUUCCGCCUGACCGGAAACGUCGGCCUCGGCGCCGGGAGCGGCUCCCUCGUGAACCAGAUCGGCGCCGCGACGUCGCUCGGGCGGAGGUUCUCGUACUGCCUCGCGCCCUUCUUCGUCAACUCCUCCUCCAUCCUCAGCUUCGGCGGCCGCGCCGCCGUGACGGAGCCGGGCGUGACCACGCCGCUGGUCCCCUCCGCGGUGGACGCCUUCUACACGGUCCUGCUCGCGUCCGUCAAGAUCGGGAACUCGACCGUCGUGCCGCCGAGGCGGUCCCCCGUGAUCGUCGACUCCGGGACGGUGCUGACGUACCUCGACAAGGGGCUGCUGGACCAGGUGGUGGCGGAGGUCGCCCGGCGCAUCAAUCUCCCGCGGAAGCAGUCGCCGGAGAAGCUGGUGGAUCUGUGCUACGACGUGGCCGGCGAGACCGAGGCUUGGGCGAAGCUUCUCCCGGAGGUGACGCUGGGGUUUGGCGGCGGCGCCGCGAUCACCCUGCCGGCGCGGAACGCGUUCGUGGAGGCGCGGAAGGGGACCGUGUGCUUGGCGAUGUCGGCGGUGACGGAUGAUGGGCCGGCGGUGGCGACGAUCGGGAGCAUCGCGCAGCAGGACUUUCACGUCGGCUUCGACCUGGACAAGCGCGCCAUCACCUUCGCCGCUGCCGACUGCGCGAGCUCCUACUCCUCUUCUACCACCUCAGUCUCUUUGUAG
Molecule: ribosomal RNA, 1476 nt
Filed under: Triticum aestivum (bread wheat)
Lineage: Eukaryota; Viridiplantae; Streptophyta; Magnoliopsida; Poales; Poaceae
Description: partial small subunit ribosomal RNA
Source: RNAcentral